Rattus norvegicus (Norway rat) is the source of this 1351-nucleotide long non-coding RNA. RefSeq lists it as uncharacterized. The record is from RefSeq and is a predicted model, not a curated record. Lineage: Eukaryota; Metazoa; Chordata; Mammalia; Rodentia; Muridae.
GCUUAAGAUGGUAGCAUCAGGGUCGAUGGCAAAAGGCUUGUUCUGGCCACCGGGAUACCUCACAAAGACCUGGAUCUCAGGAGGAAAGGUCUCCAUCACCCGGAUGUUCACCUUAGAGAAAAUUCCAUAAUCCGACAGGGUUUUCCGGCCACUCAGCGGCUGCCUCUCCCCUCCCGGCUCCUGGAAGGAGAUACGCAGCUCCCCACAGAGGUUCAUUCUCUUCUUGAUCUUUGCCUUCAACUUCCUGAUGGGGCUGUGGGGGUUUGUCAAGAGAAUCCACUCUUCCCUUCCUGUUUGUUUCACUGUCACCUGAACGUCCCUCGCUCCCUGCAAGAGAGAGAGGAGAAAGGGCAAGUGUGUGACACUAGAAGGCGGCAUCAGACAUUAUGAGCGCCACGUGGUUGCUGGGAAUUGAACUCAGGACCUCUGCAAGAGCAGUCAGUGCUCUUAACCGCUGAGCCAUCUCUCCAGCCUGAGCUUCUUCCCCCCCCCCCCCCCCCCGGAGCUGGGGACCGAACCCAGGGCCUUGCGUUUGCUAGGCAAGCGCUCUACCACUGAGCUAAAUCCCCAACCCCCAGCCCGAGUUUCUUACUUCUAGCUCCUGACAUAAUUUAUCCCCUACCAAGACAACCUGGGAGAUGCUCUGGAUAAUUGCCUGAGGCUGUUUGGCUACUCUAGACUUAGAGUAACCACUAACUCAGGCCGCUGUGUUCCUCAACUCACCCAAACUACAGCCACAACUGGAUUCUUUCAUGGGUACACAACAGUGCUGUCCUCAUGGAAGCCUGGGGAUUCCAGUGACAUAAUUUAAUGUUUGUGUCUGGCUUUAGGAUGGUUGUUCAAGGACGAUCACUGUUACACUUCAAAAAUCUGGACAUGUCCUAAAAAUCCUGCCUCGGGGUACUGGUUAAAAUAUGUCACAGAAUUCUGACCUAUUUGCUGAGCAUUUGGACACACGGUCCUCGGUAGAACUGUUUGAAGAGGAUUAGAAAGUAUGGCCUUGCAGGAGGAUACCAGUAUAUCAGCCGAGUCAGGUUUUGGGAUUUCAAAAGCCCACAACAUUCCAAGGUCACUUUAGAUGUGAGCACCAGCCACCAUACCUGCUACCACAUUUCCCUGCCACGAUGAAAAGACUCAUCUCUGUGGAACUGUAAGCACCAAGGAACCCUCCCUUCUGUAAGUCAUAGCAUAGCCGCAGCCCUGUGGAGGUUCUGUCUUUUAUUGUCUAUUGUAAUGCAAACCGUGAGCCCCCAAGACCUGGAGUCUGCACGUGGCCGCUGUGACCCUGCCUCCCGAGUUAACUCUGAUUGGUGAAUAAAGAUGCCGACAGCCAAUAGCUGGGCAGAAGAGA